Tetraodon nigroviridis (spotted green pufferfish) is the source of this 81-nucleotide non-coding RNA. The record is from Rfam. NCBI's taxonomy places the organism in Eukaryota, Metazoa, Chordata, Actinopteri, Tetraodontiformes, Tetraodontidae.
UUGGGGUGAGGUAGUAGGUUGUAUAGUUUUAGGGUCAUUCCCAAACUGUCAGAUGACUAUACAACUUACUGUCUUUCCCGG